GCUCCAGGUAAAUCCUGGUCCUUCUUGGUGGCUGUAUGAUCUUAAGUAAGCCCAUUUUGCUUCAAUUUUCUUAUCUAGAAAAUGGGGAUAAUAACACCCAUGUUAUAGAGUUAUUCUGAUGAUUUCUAAGAGUCUCAGAGACCUAGGAUCCACAAAAUCAAAACAACAAAACCAAGCCUUUGUGCACAUCUGUGGUUGUGACCAGUUGGAGAGACAUUAGGAGAUGAGAUACUAUGUUCACUCCUCACAGCUGUACCAGGGACCUGAGAUAUUCCGUCACUAUUCUAUGAGCCUGGGCUGGUGAAUGGUUCCUGCUUUCACUAUUCCAGAUGUCCAGCUCUGUACCUUGCUGCUCUCCUUAAAGCCUGCCUCCCUCUAGGGAGCUAUGGUGCAUUACUCACGAGUGACAGAACCAACGAGCUUCAUCUCCCAAGAGGCUGGUGCAUCUGUUUAAAGGAGCAGGCACUAGGCAGAGCAGCCCCCACCCCACCCUCCAUGGCAGAGUGCAGUGGGGGAAGAAGUUUUCAUAGAAAUGCUUUCUAUAAAGCAUUUUCAUAGAGAAAGCAGGUUCAUAUAGAAAGCACUGGCUGCUGGUUGGAGUGGAGAGAUUGAAGACCCUCAUCUAGGAUCAAGCAACCCCCAGAAAACAAUUUUAAACAUGUCCAUUCAGACAAAAGGAGUCCAAAACCAUAAGAUCCUCUCAGCAUCCUGAACUAAUGUCCAGCUGUUAUCUCGGUUACAUGAUCUGGAGACUGAGAACUUGGGACACUCCUUGUUCAUCCAAGCGUUUGAACAAAUCCAGUGUCCUUCUUGAGCAAAAUAUGAGCCCCACCUUUAGAAUUUGUGAAUCUCCCUUUCAGAUGGAAAAGCUUUUUUGUGCAUUAAAUAAACUUGAUCCUUAGAUCC
This is a long non-coding RNA of Homo sapiens (human), 906 nucleotides long. Lineage: Eukaryota; Metazoa; Chordata; Mammalia; Primates; Hominidae. The record is from Ensembl.